This 252-nucleotide ribosomal RNA is filed under the name uncultured bacterium. RNAcentral describes it as "partial 16S ribosomal RNA". It matches the Rfam family "Bacterial small subunit ribosomal RNA", at positions 524 to 776 of the family's 1533-position model. The record is from RNAcentral.
UACGGAGGAUGCGAGCGUUAUCCGGAUUUAUUGGGUUUAAAGGGUGCGCAGGCGGCACGGCAAGCCGGCGGUCAAAUCGCGGGGCUCAACCCCGCCUAGCCGUCGGAACUGCCGGGCUAGAGUGGGCGAGAAGUGCGCGGAAUGCGUGGUGUAGCGGUGAAAUGCAUAGAUAUCACGCAGAACUCCGAUUGCGAAGGCAGCGCACCGGCGCCCUACUGACGCUCAGGCAGGAAAGCGUGGGUAUCGAACAGG